UACGUAGGGGGCGAGCGUUGUCCGGAAUUACUGGGUGUAAAGCGCGUGUAGGCGGGAGGCCAAGUCUGUGGUGAAAUCGCUCGGCUUAACUGGGCGGGGUCCAUGGAAACUGGUCACCUGGAGGUCGGUAGAGGCAAGUGGAAUUCCUGGUGUAGCGGUGGAAUGCGCAGAUAUCAGGAGGAACACCAAUAGCGAAGGCAGCUCGCUGGGACGGUACUGACGCUAAGGCGCGAAAGCGUGGGGAGCGAACAGG
Molecule: ribosomal RNA, 253 nt
Filed under: uncultured bacterium
Lineage: Bacteria
Description: partial 16S ribosomal RNA
Rfam family: Bacterial small subunit ribosomal RNA
Source: RNAcentral